RNAcentral lists this ribosomal RNA (355 nucleotides) under uncultured Desulfocapsa sp. Its description in RNAcentral is "bacterial SSU rRNA". It matches the Rfam family "Bacterial small subunit ribosomal RNA", at positions 1025 to 1382 of the family's 1533-position model. The record is from RNAcentral. Lineage: Bacteria; Pseudomonadati; Thermodesulfobacteriota; Desulfobulbia; Desulfobulbales; Desulfocapsaceae.
ACAUCGGUGACAGGUGGUGCAUGGUUGUCGUCAGCUCGUGUCGUGAGAUGUUGGGUUAAGUCCCGCAACCGAGCGCAACCCCUGUCUUUAGUUGCCAUCAUUAAGUUGGGCACUCUAAAGAGACUGCCGGUGUCAAACCGGAGGAAGUGGGGAUGACGUCAAGUCCUCAUGGCCUUUAUGACCAGGGCUACACACGUACUACAAUGGCAGGUCAAAGGGCAGCCACUUAGCGAUAAGGCGCGAAUCCCAUAAAACCUGUCUCAGUCCGGAUUGGAGUCUGCAACUCGACUCCAUGAAGUUGGAAUCGCUAGUAAUCGCAGAUCAGCACGCUGCGGUGAAUACGUUCCCGGGCCUU